GCCAGGGCCUUGCGUGCACACAUUGUCAGCGCGCUGGCUGAUGCUGUGUGUGACAUCAGGUCCCUCCCAGUUCAUGCUGGGCAGAAGACGCGGUCCGUCUCUUGCAGACUCCAUCAGCCAGCAGCGCAGACAGCAGGAAUU
Long non-coding RNA from Bufo bufo (common toad), 141 nucleotides. RefSeq lists it as uncharacterized. The transcript has 4 exons. NCBI's taxonomy places the organism in Eukaryota, Metazoa, Chordata, Amphibia, Anura, Bufonidae. The record is from RefSeq and is a predicted model, not a curated record.